CAUAUCAAUAAGCGGAGGAAAAGAAACCAACAGGGAUUGCCCCAGUAGCGGCGAGUGAAGCGGCAAGAGCUCAGAUUUGAAAUCGUGUUUCGGCACGAGUUGUAGAGUGUAGGCCGGAGUCUCUGCGGAACACAGUGUCCAAGUCCCUUGGAACAGGGCGCCUGAGAGGGUGAGAGCCCCGUGGGGCGCUGUGUGAAGCUCUGAGGCCCUGCUGACGAGUCGAGUUGUUUGGGAAUGCAGCUCUAAGUGGGUGGUAAAUUCCAUCUAAGGCUAAAUAUUGGCGAGAGACCGAUAGCGAACAAGUACUGUGAAGGAAAGAUGAAAAGCACUUUGAAAAGAGAGUGAAACAGCACGUGAAAUUGUUGAAAGGGAAGGGUAUUGGGCCCGACAUGGGGAGUGCGCAUCGCUGUCUCUUGUAGGCGGCGCUCUGGGCGCUCUCUGGGCCAGCAUCGGUUCCCGCUGCGAGAGAAUGGGUGCCGGAAAGUGGCUCUUCGGAGUGUUAUAGCCGGCGCCAGAUGUCGCGUGUGGGGACCGAGGACUGCGGCUUCUGUCUCGGAUGCUGGCACAACGGCGCAAUACCGC
RNAcentral lists this ribosomal RNA (582 nucleotides) under Pichia sp. Af135S-3-1. RNAcentral describes it as "partial 28S ribosomal RNA". It matches the Rfam family "Eukaryotic large subunit ribosomal RNA", at positions 39 to 648 of the family's 3401-position model. Lineage: Eukaryota; Fungi; Ascomycota; Pichiomycetes; Pichiales; Pichiaceae. The record is from RNAcentral.